UAACGACGAUGUCCUGUAAACGCUUGGUCGUUAAACAUUAGUAUAAGUUGAGUCCCCGCAGGUAAAAUCAGCCUCUGCCUAAUAGCUACCCAGUAGCACACGCAUAUCCAACCUUUUUCACAAAUAUUUGGUGCUCGAUUAAAAAGUAAAUCAGACUUCCAUUGGAUAACCCUCCGUAAUAGCCAGUUUUUUAAUCCAUUAUUAUAGGAUCCCGUUCAUCUCCCUACGCAGCUUUCUUCUCUCCUUCCUUCUUACCUCCAGAUCGCAUCUCCCUUCUCUUCUCCUAUGGCUAUCCGCGCUGAAGCCUACACCUCACCGGUCGCCUUGACCCUGGCGCGUCCGCGCUGCUGCCUGCAAGUAGGCGGCCGCCUCGACUCCGUCGCGUCCGCACUGCCGUCUGCACCUCACCGGUCGCGUCGACCCGUCCACGCUGCUGCCUGCAAGUCGCCGGUCGCCUCGACACAUGGCGUCCGCGCUGCAGCCUGCACCUUGCCGGUCGCCUCCACCCCUACGCGUCCGCGCUGCUGCCUGCAAGUCGCCGGUCGCCUCGACCCCGUCGCGUCUGCACUGCCGCCUGCACAUGGCCGGUUGCCUGGCCCUAGUGCGCCCGAGCUACCGCCUGCAAUGCAUAUCGCCAUUCGCCAACACUACAUUGAUACAAAUGAUGCGCCGACAAAUACUCUUGUUCAGUGCAAAUUGGGAUGCAGAUGAUUCCGAAACAAGUGAAACUUGUACUUGAAGAAAAGUCCAAUGGCGUGGUACAAGAAGUGUCAGAAAUUAAGUGGCUUAUGUUUGGUACAUCUCUAAGUGAUAGUUCUCAUGAAAGCCAGCAUGAACAAGACUGAUGGUCCUCGUAAAUAUUUAGAAGCAUUCGAAGGAAUUGUAACCACCAAUGAAGAAUGAUAUCCAUUCAGGCAACACGAUGGUGUCCCUCGAUUGAAGAUUACUAAAUAUUAUCUUUUCUAGUUUCUCGUUUUCCAGUUAGACAUGAGAAAGUACAUUGGUCAUAUAAGCAAUGCUUUUGACUCAGAUAUUGUAUAUUUUAAUUCCAGAAUCGCAUGUCAGAAUUUUGUUAAUUUACCUG
RNA transcript from Triticum aestivum (bread wheat), 1084 nucleotides. RefSeq lists it as uncharacterized. Lineage: Eukaryota; Viridiplantae; Streptophyta; Magnoliopsida; Poales; Poaceae. The transcript is spliced from 4 exons. The record is from RefSeq and is a predicted model, not a curated record.